AACAACAUACAUGAUAGGUGCAUGAAGAAUCUAAAAUUCACUGCUAGAAAAAAGUAGAUAUCUCAUCAGAUAUCUCUAGGACUCAUCCUCUGACUUGCUAUUGGCUGUCGCUGCAGUAGCCCUCAUCCGAUCUCUGAGUUAAGGAUAAUUUUUGGCUAGAUGCCCCAACUCAUCAUAUCGAUAACCUCUGAUCUUACUCAAGUCUCUCAUCUUGAACUUGGACCACC
RNAcentral lists this long non-coding RNA (227 nucleotides) under Elaeis guineensis (African oil palm). RNAcentral's name for it is "long non-coding RNA (EGUI_LNC002876)". The record is from RNAcentral. Lineage: Eukaryota; Viridiplantae; Streptophyta; Magnoliopsida; Arecales; Arecaceae.